ACGGAAGGCAGCAGUGGGGAAUAUUGGACAAUGGGGGAAACCCUGAUCCAGCGACGCCGCGUGAGUGAAGAAGUAUUUCGGUAUGUAAAGCUCUAUCAGCAGGGAAGAUAAUGACGGUACCUGACUAAGAAGCCCCGGCUAACUACGUGCCAGCAGCCGCGGUAAUACGUAGGGGGCAAGCGUUAUCCGGAUUUACUGGGUGUAAAGGGAGCGUAGACGGCAUGGCAAGUCUGAUGUGAAAACCCGGGGCUCAACCCCGGGACUGCAUUGGAAACUGUCAGGCUAGAGUGCAGGAGAGGUAAGUGGAAUUCCUAGUGUAGCGGUGAAAUGCGUAGAUAUUAGGAGGAACACCAGUGGCGAAGGCGGCUUACUGGACUGUAACUGACGUUGAGGCUCGAAAGCGUGGGGAGCAACCAGGAUUAGAUACCCUGGUA
RNAcentral lists this ribosomal RNA (434 nucleotides) under uncultured Clostridium sp. RNAcentral's name for it is "partial 16S ribosomal RNA". It matches the Rfam family "Bacterial small subunit ribosomal RNA", at positions 341 to 792 of the family's 1533-position model. Lineage: Bacteria; Bacillati; Bacillota; Clostridia; Eubacteriales; Clostridiaceae. The record is from RNAcentral.